Molecule: transfer RNA, 88 nt
Filed under: Leishmania major strain Friedlin
Lineage: Eukaryota; Euglenozoa; Kinetoplastea; Trypanosomatida; Trypanosomatidae
Description: tRNA_leucine
Source: RNAcentral
GCGCUACGAGCAGCUGCGGCAGCUGCACCACCUCAGCUAUGGUAUCUUGGCGCAGGAAAAGACCGCCGUUGCUGUCGGCAGUGGCGCC